CCUGAAUAAAAGUAGUUAAGUUCUUCAUAACUCAAAGAAUUUGGCGGUUAAUAAUAGUUUUAGAGGAACCUGUAUAUUAAUUGAUAAACCACGAUAGGCUAAACCUUUAUUUUUGUUUGUAUAUCUCUAUAAAUUAGGAAUGUUUUUAAAGGAUAAAUUUUCUUUAUAGAAUUUUUCUUUUAUAUUAGGUCAAGGUGCAGCUUUAUUAAGGUUUAUAUGGGUUACUUAAAUUUUAUAUUUGUUUUUAAUUAAUUUGUUUUUAUAAUUUUAAUAAUAGGAUUUAAAAGUAAUUUAAAUUAAUUAAUUUAUUUGAAUAUU
RNAcentral lists this ribosomal RNA (318 nucleotides) under Tylopelta sp. CPL-2004. RNAcentral describes it as "partial 12S small subunit ribosomal RNA". The record is from RNAcentral. Lineage: Eukaryota; Metazoa; Arthropoda; Insecta; Hemiptera; Membracidae.